This 378-nucleotide unclassified non-coding RNA is filed under the name uncultured bacterium. RNAcentral describes it as "contains 16S-23S intergenic spacer region". The record is from RNAcentral.
UCCCCGUUAACCGGGGCAGUCCCCCUAGAGUUCCCGGCAUGACUCGUUGGCAACUAGGGGCGAGGGUUGCGCUCGUUGCGGGACUUAACCCAACAUCUCACGACACGAGCUGACGACAGCCAUGCAGCACCUGUGAAGAUGCCCCGAAGGGAAGGCCUGUUUCCAGGCCGGUCAUCCACAUGUCAAGCCCAGGUAAGGUUCUUCGCGUUGCCUCGAAUUAAACCACAUGCUCCACCGCUUGUGCGGGCCCCCGUCAAUUCCUUUGAGUUUCAGCCUUGCGGCCGUACUCCCCAGGCGGGGCACUUAAUGCGUUAGCGCCGGCACCCAGGGGGUCGCUCCCCCAGGCACCUAGUGCCCAUCGUUUACGGCGUGGACUAC